UACAGAGGUCUCAAGCGUUGUUCGGAUUUACUGGGCGUAAAGGGCGCGUAGGCGGCUUGACAAGUCACUUGUGAAAUCUCCGGGCUUAACUCGGAACGGCCAAGUGAAACUGUCAUGCUAGAGUGCAGAAGGGGCAAUCGGAAUUCUUGGUGUAGCGGUGAAAUGCGUAGAUAUCAAGAGGAACACCUGAGGUGAAGACGGGUUGCUGGGCUGACACUGACGCUGAGGCGCGAAAGCCAGGGGAGCAAACGGG
This 253-nucleotide ribosomal RNA is filed under the name uncultured bacterium. Its description in RNAcentral is "partial 16S ribosomal RNA". It matches the Rfam family "Bacterial small subunit ribosomal RNA", at positions 524 to 776 of the family's 1533-position model. The record is from RNAcentral.